UGGGGAAUCUUGGACAAUGGGGGCAACCCUGAUCCAGCCAUGCCGCGUGAGUGACGAAGGCCUUCGGGUUGUAAAGCUCUUUCGCCCGCGACGAUGAUGACGGUAGCGGGAGAAGAAGCCCCGGCUAACUCCGUGCCAGCAGCCGCGGUAAUACGGAGGGGGCUAGCGUUGUUCGGAAUCACUGGGCGUAAAGCGCACGUAGGCGGCGUGUUUAGUCGGGGGUGAAAUGCCUGGGCUCAACCCGGGAACUGCCUUGGAUACUGGCACGCUUGAGUCCGAGAGGGGUUGGUGGAACUCCCAGUGUAGAGGUGAAAUUCGUAGAUAUUGGGAAGAACACCGGUGGCGAAGGCGACCACCUGGCUCGGGACUGACGCUGAGGUGCGAAAGCGUGGGGAGCAAACA
This 402-nucleotide ribosomal RNA is filed under the name uncultured prokaryote. RNAcentral's name for it is "bacterial SSU rRNA". It matches the Rfam family "Bacterial small subunit ribosomal RNA", at positions 355 to 774 of the family's 1533-position model. The record is from RNAcentral.